UAAGCGGAGGAAAAGAAACUAACUAGGAUUCCCUUAGUAACGGCGAGUGAACCGGGAUGAGCUCAAAUUUAAAAUCUGGCGUCUUUCAGGCGUCCGAGUUGUAAUCUAUAGAGGCGUUUUCCGCGCCGGACCGCGUCCAAGUCUCUUGGAAUAGAGUAUCAAAGAGGGUGACAAUCCCGUACUUGACGCGACAACCGGUGCUCUGUGAUACGUUCUCAAUGAGUCGAGUUGUUUGGGAAUGCACCUCUAAAUGGGUGGUAAAUUCCAUCUAAGGCUAAAUAUUGGCGAGAGACCGAUAGCGAACAAGUACCGUGAGGGAAAGAUGAAAAGCACUUUGGAAAGAGAGUUAAACAGCACGUGAAAUUGUUAAAAGGGAAACGAUUGAAGUCAGUCGUGUGAAAGGUAUUCAGCCGUCUCUGGCGGUGUAUUUGCCUUUCACGGGUCAACAUCAGUUUGAUCCGGUAGAAAAAGGCGGGAGGAAGGUGGCACCCUCGGGUGUGUUAUAGCCUCCUGUCAUAUGUGCCGGACCAGACUGAGGAACGCAGCUUGCCGCAAGGCCGGGGUUCGCCCACGUACAAGCUUAGGAUGUUGACAUAAUGGCUUUAAACGACCCGUCUUGAAACAC
Molecule: ribosomal RNA, 625 nt
Filed under: Vishniacozyma victoriae
Lineage: Eukaryota; Fungi; Basidiomycota; Tremellomycetes; Tremellales; Bulleribasidiaceae
Description: eukaryotic LSU rRNA
Rfam family: Eukaryotic large subunit ribosomal RNA
Source: RNAcentral